RNAcentral lists this ribosomal RNA (247 nucleotides) under uncultured bacterium. RNAcentral's name for it is "partial 16S ribosomal RNA". It matches the Rfam family "Bacterial small subunit ribosomal RNA", at positions 1254 to 1500 of the family's 1533-position model. The record is from RNAcentral.
GCCGCGAGGUAGAGCAAAUCUCAAAAAAACAAUCUCAGUUCAGACUGCAGGCUGCAACUCGCCUGCACGAAGUCGGAAUUGCUAGUAAUCGUAGGUCAGCAUACUACGGUGAAUACGUUCCCGGGCCUUGUACACACCGCCCGUCAAACCAUGAGAGUUGGCAACACCCGAAGUCGGUAGUCUAACCGCAAGGAGGACGCCGCCGAAGGUGGGGUUGAUGAUUAGGGUUAAGUCGUAACAAGGUAGC